AUUGAACGCUGGCGGCAUGCUUUACACAUGCCAGUCGAACGGUAACAGGCCUUCGGGUGCUGACGAGUGGCGAACGGGUGAGUAAUGCAUCGGAACGUACCCAGAGGUGGGGGAUAACGCAGCGAAAGCUGAGCUAAUACCGCAUGUGAUCUGAGGAUGAAAGCGGGGGACCGAGCAGCAAUGUUUGGCCUCGCGCCUUUGGAGCGGCCGAUGUCGGAUUAGCUAGUUGGUGGGGUAAAGGCCUACCAAGGCGACGAUCCGUAGCUGGUCUGAGAGGACGACCAGCCACACUGGGACUGAGACACGGCCCAGACUCCUACGGGAGGCAGCAGUGGGGAAUUUUGGACAAUGGGCGCAAGCCUGAUCCAGCAAUGCCGCGUGCGGGAAGAAGGCCUUCGGGUUGUAAACCGCUUUUGGCAGGAACGAAACGGUGUCCGCUAAUACCGGGCGCUAAUGACGGUACCUGCAGAAUAAGCACCGGCUAACUACGUG
This 492-nucleotide ribosomal RNA is filed under the name uncultured bacterium. RNAcentral describes it as "partial 16S ribosomal RNA". It matches the Rfam family "Bacterial small subunit ribosomal RNA", at positions 29 to 507 of the family's 1533-position model. The record is from RNAcentral.